UGCGGGCCGUAAAGUCCACAAAUACCCAUCAGGAGAUAGAAUUUUAAUCUACAAUUAAAGGUAAACAAAAUUUGGGUUCAGUUUAGGCGAAAAGAAAAACGUUUUAAAAACUCCAAACAACCAAAUGUGCCUCUGAGAUGUGUGUGGACACGCGUGCGUAAAGCAACCCACCAGU
This 175-nucleotide long non-coding RNA is filed under the name Octodon degus (degu). RNAcentral describes it as "Deleted in lymphocytic leukemia 1 conserved region 1 (ENSODEG00000022344.1)". It matches the Rfam family "Deleted in lymphocytic leukemia 1 conserved region 1". The record is from RNAcentral. Lineage: Eukaryota; Metazoa; Chordata; Mammalia; Rodentia; Octodontidae.